This 329-nucleotide ribosomal RNA is filed under the name uncultured eukaryote. RNAcentral's name for it is "partial 18S ribosomal RNA". It matches the Rfam family "Eukaryotic small subunit ribosomal RNA", at positions 1470 to 1796 of the family's 1831-position model. The record is from RNAcentral.
CCCUUAGAUGUUCUGGGCCGCACGCGCGCUACACUGAUGCAUUCAACGAGUCUAAAACCUGCUCUGAUAGGGGUGGGUAAUCUUUUGAAUGUGCAUCGUGAUUGGGAUAGAUGAUUGCAAUUUUUCAUCUUUAACGAGGAAUGCCUAGUAAACGCAAGUCAUCAGCUUGCAUUGAUUACGUCCCUGCCCUUUGUACACACCGCCCGUCGCUCCUACCGAUUGAAUGAUCCGAUGAAUAUCAUGGAUUGAGGAUGCAAGCAGGUUCGCCUGUCUUCAUCUUCGAGAAGUGAAGUAAAUCUUAUCAUUUAGAGGAAGGAGAAGUCGUAACA